Molecule: ribosomal RNA, 403 nt
Filed under: uncultured bacterium
Lineage: Bacteria
Description: partial 16S ribosomal RNA
Rfam family: Bacterial small subunit ribosomal RNA
Source: RNAcentral
GACGAACGCUGGCGGCGUGCCUAAUACAUGCAAGUCGAACGCAGUGGGGACGGGUGAGUAACACGUGGGUAACCUCCCAUCAGAGGGGAUAACACUUGGAAACAGGUGCUAAACCGCUACUGAUGGAUGGACCCGCGGUGCAUUAGCUAGUUGGGUAGGUAAAGGCUCACCAAGGACACGAUGCAUAGCCGACCUGCGGGGGGGAUCGGCCACACUGGGACUGAGAAACGGCCCAGACUCCUAAGGUAGGCAGCAGUAGGGAAUCUUCGGAAAUGGACGAAAGUCUGACCGAGCAACGCCGCGUGAGUGAAGAAGGUUUUCGGAGCGUAAAACUCUGUCGUUAGAGAAGCGGUAUCUAACCAGAAAGCCACGGCGAACUACGUGCCAGCAGCCGCGGUAAUUC